GGAUGUUGAGACUCAAGGUGAAUUCGUUAAUACGAGAGGCCAACAAUGCGAUUUAUCCGGAAACAGAAGAUGUGGUGGCUUUUGUGAACUGGCUGCUUUCUUGGGUUAGAGGAAUCAAGGAACCAAUGUCCAAAAAAUAUAAGUUUUCACCUUUACCCUAAAAAGCUAAAAGACAGCUUGCUUACAUCUACAAGCAACAUUUUACUGUUGUCUGAAAGACACCUUGCUUGCUGCAGUCUCUAUAAGUACUUCACAUGUAUCAACACUCCACAAACACUGUGCUGAAAGACAGCAUGCUUGCUUCAGUCUCUAUAAAUACUUCACAUGUAUCAACACUCUACAAACACUCAACUACACUCAACUGAGAUGAAUUAAACUUU
Helianthus annuus (common sunflower) is the source of this 380-nucleotide long non-coding RNA. RefSeq lists it as uncharacterized. The record is from RefSeq and is a predicted model, not a curated record. The transcript has 3 exons. NCBI's taxonomy places the organism in Eukaryota, Viridiplantae, Streptophyta, Magnoliopsida, Asterales, Asteraceae.